GUCCACGCCGUAAACGAUGGAUACUAGCUGUUCGGAGCAAUCUGAGUGGCUAAGCGAAAGUGAUAAGUAUCCCACCUGGGGAGUACGUUCGCAAGAAUGAAACUCAAAGGAAUUGACGGGGGCCCGCACAAGCGGUGGAGCAUGCUGUUUAAUUCGACGAUACGCGAAGAACCUUACCUAGACUUGACAUCCCUGGCAAAGCUAUAGAAAUAUAGUGGAGGUCAUCCAGGUGACAGGUGGUGCAUGGUUGUCGU
RNAcentral lists this ribosomal RNA (254 nucleotides) under uncultured bacterium. RNAcentral's name for it is "partial 16S ribosomal RNA". It matches the Rfam family "Bacterial small subunit ribosomal RNA", at positions 793 to 1055 of the family's 1533-position model. The record is from RNAcentral.